RNAcentral lists this unclassified non-coding RNA (232 nucleotides) under rhizosphere metagenome. Its description in RNAcentral is "partial ribosomal RNA internal transcribed spacer region". The record is from RNAcentral.
GUAGGUGAACCUGCGGAAGGAUCAUUACCGAGUUAGGGUCUUUUUGGCCCGAUCUCCAACCCUGUGUUUAAAUUAUCCUGUUGCUUCGGCGAGCCCGUCCCUAGGGGCCGCCGGAGGCUUUGUCGCCUCUGGUCAGUGCUCGUCAGUAGCCCCCACAAACCCUUUUUAAACUGUGUUGUCUGAGUAUAAAUUUAAAUCGUUAAAACUUUCAACAACGGAUCUCUUGGUUCUG